Molecule: transfer RNA, 76 nt
Filed under: Acidiferrobacter thiooxydans
Lineage: Bacteria; Pseudomonadati; Pseudomonadota; Gammaproteobacteria; Acidiferrobacterales; Acidiferrobacteraceae
Also listed under: 9 other names
Description: tRNA-Lys
Rfam family: tRNA
About the family: Transfer RNA (tRNA) molecules are approximately 80 nucleotides in length. Their secondary structure includes four short double-helical elements and three loops (D, anti-codon, and T loops). Further hydrogen bonds mediate the characteristic L-shaped molecular structure. tRNAs have two regions of fundamental functional importance: the anti-codon, which is responsible for specific mRNA codon recognition, and the 3' end, to which the tRNAs corresponding amino acid is attached (by aminoacyl-tRNA synthetases). tRNAs cope with the degeneracy of the genetic code in two manners: having more than one tRNA (with a specific anti-codon) for a particular amino acid; and 'wobble' base-pairing, i.e. permitting non-standard base-pairing at the 3rd anti-codon position.
Source: RNAcentral
GGGCCGUUAGCUCAGUCGGUAGAGCAUCUGACUUUUAAUCAGGUGGUCGCUGGUUCGAACCCAGCACGGCCCACCA